Molecule: long non-coding RNA, 4265 nt
Filed under: Canis lupus familiaris (dog)
Lineage: Eukaryota; Metazoa; Chordata; Mammalia; Carnivora; Canidae
Description: lncRNA (ENSCAFG00845014900.1)
Source: RNAcentral
UUUGGGCCCCUCCUUUUUUUUUCUUCUUGGCUAAAGGUCUGUCAAUUUUGUUUAUCUUUUCAAAGAACUAGCUCUUAGGUUCGUUGAUCGUUUACCUACUUUUUUAAAAGAUUUUAUUUAUCCAUUUGACACACAGAGAGAAAGCACAAGCAGGGGGAGCAGUAAGCAGAGGGUGAGGGAGAUGAAGGCUCCCUGAUCAGCACGGAUCCACGUGGGGCUGGAUUCUAGACCCUGGGAUCAUGAUCUGAGCCAAAGGCAAACACUUAACGCAUUGAGCCACCCAAGCCCCCCUGAUCCUUCCUACUUUUUAUUUCAGUAUCUAUUUCAUUUAUUUCCACUCUUAUCUUUAUUAUUUCCCUUCUUCUACCAACUUUGAGCUUCAUUUGUUCUUUUUCUAGUUCCUUUAAAGUUUAGAUUAAGAUUUGUCUUGUUUCUUGUUUCUUCAGUCCUUUAUUGCAAUAAACUUCCCUCUUAUAACUACCUUUGCUGCAUCCCACAGAUUUUGGAAUGUUCUAUUUCCUUUUUUUUUUUUUAAUUUAUUUAUUCAUGAGAGACACAGAGAGGAAGGAAGAGACACAGGCAGAGGGACAAGCAGGCUUCCGGUGGGGAGCCCAAUGCAGGACUUGAUCCCAGGACCCUGGGAUCACGACCUGAGCUGAAAGCAAAUGCUCAACCACUAAGCCACCCAAGUGCCCACUAUGCUGUAUUUCCAUUUUCAUUUGUUCAAGGUAUUUUUUGUAUUUCUGCUCGGAUUUCUUUGUUGACCCACUGAUUUUUCAGCAGCAUGUUGUUUAAUUACCACGUAUUUGUGAGCUUUCCAGUUUUCUUCUUGUGAUUGAUUUCUACCCUCAUAAUAUUGUUGGAACAGAUGCUGAAUAUGAUUUUAAUCUUCUUAAAUUUAUUGAGACUUGAUUUGUGACCUAACAUAUGAUCUAUCCAGGAGAAUGUUUCAUGUGCACUUGAAAAGAAGCUGUCCACUCUUUUCCCUGGUCCCUUCCAUUCUACAUGAAGUUAUUUUAACUUAUCUCUUUUGAUUAUCAUCAUGAACCCAAAGACUUUCACAAACACAACUUAUUUUAAUUAUUUUAUAUGUAUAUAUAAUUAUAUAUAUGUAUUUCUUUUUAACAUUAUAAUUGCUACAAGUUGGAGUUAAGAAGAGCUUGAAUGACUUUUUUUGUCCUUACAACACUUACACUUUUAUUCUAAAAGCAUAUUUAUUUUGGCUUUCAGAUGGUCCAGAUAGAACUUGAUGGUCCUCCUAUAUUAAGAAAUUAAAUCAGCUGUAAUCCAAGCCAUCUCAGAUAUUUUGGGAAAGAAUAUGGAUAUAUCUAAUGUUUCUGGGGGAAAGUUCCACUGAUAUUUUUUAGAACCUCUUUAGUGACAGCUAGGAAAGAUCAUUUCAAGUUUUUAUCUUUGCACUAACUUUUCCCACUUAGCUUUUCUUACAAUGUGAGGUUUCAUCAAGAAGUAAGCCUUUAUCUUCCACAGUGCUUUUGAUGUUUUAUAUUUUCUUUUUUAACUCCUAACUUUCAUAAUUUUCUAUGAAAAGGAGUGAAAAUAACCAACAACGUCAAGGAUUUGGUAAUUACUUUUUUUUCUCCAAUAAAACUUCUGUCAGUAAUCUUCAAUUUUGAUUUACUUAUCCUUGGAGGCUUCAUUAGACCUACCAAUGAACUAGGCAUCAUUUUAACUAGAAUUAACACUUUCAUCGUUUAUGAAUAUAUAUGUAAGACAAACUUUGAAAUGCUGGCCACGUGGGAAUUCAAAUUGCCAUGGCAAAAUUACAAUUUUUUUCAUGAAAUACUACUACUCCAUGGCUACCAGACAAUAAAUAAAUAAACAUUCUUUGUUAUCAUAGUGAGAGAAAUUCAAAAAAGCAUUGCUAUCUCCUUUAGGAAUUCUCACAUACUUUGAUCAUGCCUUUGAAGUAAUAUUCACUUAAAGAUACAUUUCAGAAGUAAUGCUAGAUUCUUUUCAAUGUUUCAUUAGUAGGCAUAAGAACUGCAUGAUAUGUUUUACAUUUAUCAGUCAGGCCAUUCAAUCAUGUUAAAUAUCACUAAUAGCUAUAGUUUAAAGAUCACAAUCCCUUCUUUAAAAUGUCAGGUAUACACACACACAAAAAGAGUCUUGUUUGAAAGUGAUGCAUUACACAAUUAUUUCUCAAUGUCUUCCAACCAAGUUUUUGUGCAUUUAUUACUAGACAUUAUUAAAAGAAGGGAGGUAGGGAGAGAUAGAGAAGAGGGGGAAAGAGAAGGACAAGGGCAAAAGAAAGCAAGGGAAGAGCUCUUCUAUUUGAAGAGCAAGACUCUAUUCAAACAGUGAAUAGCACUGACAUUCCUUAAAAAGGAGAUGAUAAUACUGUGAAAUACUGAAAAUAUAUUUGAAGAUUAAGUGCCAAAUUAUUUUUCCAAAUUCUUAGUUUGGAAUUAUAAUAAAUGUGAUGAAUUAGAAUAAAUGAUUAGAAUAUCUAUCUAUAUCUAGUUAUAUUAAAAGACAAGAAUAAGAAUGGCAUAAAUGUAAUAAAAAAUCUAUAGAAAAGUUAAAUUAGGUACAUAGUAUAAGAAAUCUCAAAUAUAAAUGAACAUAAUGAUAAAAUAUUCAUUACGCAACUUAUGUUGAUUUCUUCAAAGGCAUAAAUAUGAGAAAUGGGUAGGCGGUAGAGAGUAAGAAAGAGAAACAUAAAAGUAAAUGAAUACAAACUACAGUAAUAAUAAAUCUGCAAGGGGGCACUAUUGAAGAUAUAUAUCCCCAAAACUCAUCUGCAUACAAAAAGUAUCACAAAAAACACACCUUAUAAUUUAAAACGAUUACUUUAGCUCAAGAGAAAGGUUUUUAUUAAACCUUAAACAAGGGGGAUCCCUAGGUGGAUCAGCCCAGGGCCUGAUCCUGGAGCCCCGGGAUCGAGUCCCACAUCAGGCUCCCUGCAUGGAGCCUGCUUCUCCCUCUGCCUGUGUCUCUGCCUCUCUCUCUCUCUCUGUCUGUGUGUGUGUCUCUCAUGAAUGAAUGAAUGAAAUCUUUAAAAAAAAAAAAAGGAAAAGAAAAAGAAAAAGAACUGUAAAAAAAACCCACUAGUACAGGAUUAUCAAAAAUUAGAGAGAAUUUCUUUUUAAAUGCUCAUUCUAACUAUAUUUUAUAACAUAAAAAGCAAAAUAUAUAAAAUUGUGGACACUAUAUAAGUAUAAAAGCAACAGCUCAAUUAUUUAAACAGUAUUGUAUGGCAAGUUCUGCAUGUACUGAGUAGCAGAGAUCUCAGUAUUUCACAGCAAUUCACAGUUCCCAGGAUGUAAUAGGCAUGCAAUAAAUAUUAAGGUUAUGGACUACCUUAAUAAACACAUAUCCAACAUUGCUGAAAGUUCAAUAAAAUCUGAAAGUAGGGAGAAAAAAUGGGAACUGACUGGAAAUUGAAUCUCAUAAGUUCACAUAAAAUCUGUUUCUUUGUAAUUUCUAGGUAAGAGACAAUCUGAAUUUUAUAAUUUGUUCCUGCAUAUUAUUUUACACAAAGAACAUAAAUUAUCAACUCACCAAUUUUUAACAAAUGCAUCUUCAGUGUCUACUACGGCAACGAGUCAAGAUAUUCCUGAGUAAGAAUUAACAAGCUAGUAUCAGAGGCUUUGAGAAAAGGCUUAAAAGCAAAAAGCCAACACUGAACCAAUACUUCUCUGAUGAAAACACACACACACACACACACACACACACACACACACACACCCUACAUUUUACUGAUUUUUUUUUCUCUCAGGUAGUUCUGGAUCUUUGCAAAAAUCUAAUUCUGUUUCCCAAAAUAGAUCAAUAUGAAAUCCCCUGUGAACACUUUUAAAAUUAUAUUCCUUAGCACAGAUGCUUCAAUAAAUAACUGAAUAAAAAGAUGGCUAACUUUGGAGGAAAACAGUUCCACUAGAAGUUUUAUUCUAUAUUUAACUGCAAAAAUGUUACACCCUAAUAAUUGGCUCAAAAGGAAGCAGCCUCUGCCCCUCUGGCCAACUUAGUAAUAUUUAAGCUUUAGUAAGCACCCUUAGCCAGCGUGAUUGAUUAACCUUUCUUCACAUAUCUGUAGAUUAUGCAUUCUCUCCUUGAAAGAACAGAGCACCUCUGCACAAGCCCCAGGCACUAAGGAACCAGACUCCCUUGCACAACCUUCAAGCACUGAGAUAACACCUGUAGCUGGCACAAUCAAGUCUGCACAUAAUCAUGAAAUGUUAAAGACCACGGUACUCCCUUCAUUGACUAACUACUCUAAACUCCUAAAAAAAAAAAAAAAAAAAAAA